UGUGGUAUUAUAACCUAAGUCCCAUAGACAGGUAAUUAAAUGUUUUAUGUUAUAAUGUAAACAAUGAUUGAUCUUGAUUGUGGUAUUUAAUCAGUGUUUGUAUAAUGUUUACAUUCUUGAAACUUUCACAGUUUGAUAAACGUAUAAAUAAAGAAAUACUAUUUAAUAAUUAUUUGAAUAUUGUAUAUUGAAUAUUAUAGCAAAUUACUAUAAAGAAUAACCUUCUUUUCAUACUUAUGUAUUUGUGAUACUUUGCAAUAGCACUUUUAUUUAUUUACUGUUAAUUAUCAGGGACUAGAUGUACAAUUGUCUUUUAAUGCAUAAUGUGAUAUUUUGUUUAAUACAUCUGUUUAUACAUAUUAUAUUGUUAAUUGCAGGGUUAUAUUCUUACCAUCUAUUAAAUAUUUCCUGUACACAAGGGUGUCUAGUUUUUGUGAUUAGCCAGUGGCCACCCCUGUUACAUGUACCUGGAUGUCAUUUAAGACAUGCAUUUCCAAAUGACUUAAAAAGAAGGAAAAGUUGGAUCAACGCCAUGGCCCAUACGCAGAUUGGACGAGAACACGGUGAAAUCGUGGAAUCCAUCUCAAUCAGCUGUUAACUGAAAAAGACUACGUGCAGGAAACUAUUCAUGAGCGCAAACCCUCCAUACAGAGACUUAAGUCUACUGCCAUUCCCAGCCUAUUUUCCUGGAUCAAGCAAGAGACUGAAUCGUCCGCAAAAAGAAAAAUCAGGGCAGUUUUUUGUGAAAACAAAAGAACUAAACUUGAUGAAUAUUGUAGUAGAAAUCUAGAGGAAAGUUUUGAUUGUAAAGUUGGUUUUCCAGAAGAAGUCAUUCAUACUGCAGACAGGAUUUAUGACUGUCCACCACCAACUGCCGAGCUAAUGUUGAGCUUCACAGAUGGAAUUACGCAAACACCAUCAAUGCCUAUAUUUUCAGCAGAGAAUUUUAAAAUGAAGACAUGUGACACAGCCAUGCAUUUUUAUACCGGUUUAGAGUUGUAUACUAAAGUUUUAUUUGUUUUGACCACACUUGGUCCAGCAGCAAAUUGUUUGAGAUACAUAUAUUUUCAAAUUGAUAGGGUGUCAUUUGAAAAUCAUUUUUUUUAUGACUUUGAUGAAAUUGAGGCAUUAUACAACCAACUUUGAACUGUCUAGAUUCUAGAUUGAAACUAGUGUUAAGAAUAUUGUGUAAACAUGGAUUGUUUUUAUGUCUAAACAGUGGCGUGAGGCUAACACUUGGUCAUUUAGUGGUUUAGUCAGGUAUUUUUCGCCAUCCAACUUCAAAUUAAAGUUUCCUACAACUUGGAUUAUUAUUGACAGCACAGAAUAUCCCGUGAUAAAACAUAAAGCUCCUAGAGCUCAGACAACCUUUUCAUCAUAUAAAAACAGAAACACUGAAAAUACUUGUACAGUUGUAUGUUCGACACCUGGUGGUUUAGUCAACUACAAAAAUGUAUGUCUCUAAUGCAUAUGUUGGUUGUACCAGUGACUGUGAAAUAGUUGAAAGAUGUAGAAUACAUGUGUAGUUCAAUUAUGUGAUCCAGGUAACAGUGUGAUGGCAGACAAAGGUUUAAAUGUGCAAGAUUUGUUUGCUCACUUUUUUCAAAAAAAAGAAACAGAAUUAGUUCCAAAACUCUUAUACGGGAUAGAAAAGUCUCCAAUUAACACGUGCACAUAGAGCUAAUUAUUAGACUUGGCAAAACAUACAAAAUUCUAAUAAAUCCUAUGAAUGGAACUGAAACAAAACUUUCAUCUGAAAUAACAUUUAGUUGUUUCAUGUUGUGUAAUUUUAGAACUUGUAUUAUGCCAAAGGAUGCAUAAAUAAAAGUGACGCAAUGAA
Molecule: long non-coding RNA, 1840 nt
Organism: Mytilus californianus (California mussel)
Lineage: Eukaryota; Metazoa; Mollusca; Bivalvia; Mytilida; Mytilidae
Exons: 2
Source: RefSeq, a predicted model, not a curated record